GUUGUAUGGUUAAGUGACUAAGCGUACACGGUGGAUGCCUUGGCAGUCAGAGGCGAUGAAAGACGUAGUAACUUGCGAUAAGCCCAGAUUAGGUAGUAACAACCAUUUGAGUCUGGGAUUUCUGAAUGGGGAAACCCACUUACAUAAGUAAGUAUCAUUAACUGAAUACAUAGGUUAAUGAGGCGAACCGGGGGAACUGAAACAUCUAAGUACCCCGAGGAAAAGAAAUCAACCGAGAUUCCGAAAGUAGCGGCGAGCGAAAUUGGACUAGCCCUUAAGCUUUACACGCGUUAGACGAACGGUCUGGAAAGUCCGACGAUACAGGGUGAUAGUCCCGUAGUUGACGACGUGUGUUCAGUGAAAUCGAGUAGGGCGGGACACGUGAUAUCCUGUCUGAAUAUGGGGGGACCAUCCUCCAAGGCUAAAUACUACUGACUGACCGAUAGUGAACCAGUACCGUGAGGGAAAGGCGAAAAGAACCCCUGUGAGGGGAGUGAAAUAGAACCUGAAACCGUGUACGUACAAGCAGUAGGAGCAGGCUU
This 542-nucleotide ribosomal RNA is filed under the name Vibrio parahaemolyticus. Its description in RNAcentral is "bacterial LSU rRNA". It matches the Rfam family "Bacterial large subunit ribosomal RNA", at positions 1 to 586 of the family's 2925-position model. Lineage: Bacteria; Pseudomonadati; Pseudomonadota; Gammaproteobacteria; Vibrionales; Vibrionaceae. The record is from RNAcentral.